Molecule: unclassified non-coding RNA, 18 nt
Filed under: Mus musculus (house mouse)
Lineage: Eukaryota; Metazoa; Chordata; Mammalia; Rodentia; Muridae
Description: oocyte_clustered_small_RNA1723
Source: RNAcentral
UCUUUGUUGCUUUGUCAG